Molecule: ribosomal RNA, 377 nt
Filed under: uncultured bacterium
Lineage: Bacteria
Description: bacterial SSU rRNA
Rfam family: Bacterial small subunit ribosomal RNA
Source: RNAcentral
GUAGUCCACGCCCUAAACGAUGUCAACUGGUUGUUGGGGGAUUAACUCCCUUAGUAACGAAGCUAACGCGUGAAGUUGACCGCCUGGGGAGUACGGCCGCAAGGUUAAAACUCAAAGGAAUUGACGGGGACCCGCACAAGCGGUGGAUUAUGUGGAUUAAUUCGAUGCAACGCGAAAAACCUUACCUACCCUUGACAUGCUAGGAAGCUUGCAGAGAUGCGAGUGUGCCCGAAAGGGAACCUAGACACAGGUGCUGCAUGGCUGUCGUCAGCUCGUGUCGUGAGAUGUUGGGUUAAGUCCCGCAACGAGCGCAACCCUUGUCAUUAGUUGCUACAUUCAGUUGGGCACUCUAAUGAGACUGCCGGUGACAAACCGGA